GGUUUGGGACAAGCGUAAUCGACUCUUGAUAAGCAUACAGUUUCCCUGACUGAAACAGCUGUGAGCCUCGGUGGGCCAAGGGCAUUGGUCAGCAGGUUUUACAGAGGACAAGAGAGCAUCGGCUGGCACAGCAGCGGGGUGACAUCACUGAACGCGAAGCUGGGAAGAGAUGUGUACAGUCAGCUCUCGUGCCUGACAAAAGGCAGCUCCAGCACACCCUGGCGAAGAGCAUACUUUGGCCACGAGAGAUCUCUCCAAGGGGACAUGAAGCAAGCAAAGAGGAUCUCGAGAAUUUUCAGGAGCAUAAAGAUGAAAAAGAACUGGGCCUGGAGACAAGCACUUUGCCAAAGCCCCUCCAGAGUUGAAAUGACUCCAGGUGCUCAGCCUGGGACAUGUGGUUGGGCUGUUCAUCCAGUCAAAGGCCAAGUCCUCCGGGAGCCAACCAGAGCAGAAGAUGGAGCCAUCCUGGGCCUGCCAAGAUGGCGGCCCUGGGGCUCCUGGAGAAGGGAGAGGUGGGGCCUGGGCAGAUGUAAACUCUGUGUUCCCUCUCCACCCCAGGAUGAGUGACUCUGGUGAGGGAGGGGAAAUGAAUAUUAAAUACAUCUUUGGGGGGGAAAGGAAAGCCUUAAAGCAGACCUGCAGCUUGGUGGCAGGAGGGGAGGAGGCAUGUGCAGAACCUCACUUUCCCUGAAUAUCGGUCUGUAAGCUUCAACGAUUUCUUAGUUAGAUCUCUCAUCACAAGAUGUUAGAGCCUGAGAGGACUCCAGAUAACUUCCACUGUCUCCUUUCUUUUCAGAUGAGGAGCCUGACUCUAGAAAGGUCAGAAAUUCUAGUCUAGAUUCAGGUCAAAACUCAUACUGGCAGCUUUAGGAUUUGCAAUCAGGUUUUAAAGCUCCUGGCAAACCAUCAGAAUGAGUGCCCCAAAGGCCAGAGUCUAAGGUAUUUUCUGCUUCAUCUUUCUCUAGGGGUCAGCUCUGACGGGGAAGAGCUCAUAGCAAACACUGGUGGGUAAAUGCCAAACAUCUUGUGAGCAACAUGGCUCUGGGCAAGCAUGUCAAUUUCAUUGCUUGUGUCAUAUUCCAGAACAGUAUUUCUGAGAUGCGUGGAGGGCAUGUCCAGCCCAGAAGCAUCACAGAGGGUUCUGGCAGGAACUUUGAUGAACCUACUGCUUUUUCCUCACUGGCCAUUUCCUCCAUAGCCUCCUGCUCUGAUUAUUAUAAAAAUGGCUGUCAGAUGUAUGAGGGUGGGAAAAACCUGGAGAACCUAUGUAAUGAGAGAUCUCAUUUAAACAUCACCCAGUCUUAUUUGCCUGGCAUCAUUUUGGCAUCAGUAUGGGAUGUAAAUAGGUAUUAGAUAAAAAUUUAAAGCAAGUAGUGCCCUUCCCUUCCCCAUUAAGACCUGACUGGAUCUUAGUCUCUCUAUAUCCCACCUCCUUCCAAACUUCAGCUCACCUUACAUUUCCAAUAUGCUGCUCCUGCUGAGGGGCUGACAGCUUGCAACAGCCCUGCCCUGGAACAAGGUCAGGAGCAGACAAGGAGAGGGGUUGGUGCUUCCAAGUCCAAGGGCUGUGCUUGAGGUUUGGUGACAACCUACACAGACCUGCAUGGGAUCACCAGCCUGUGAAAAAGAUGACCCCAUGGGCCACCUUGGAUGAGGAGAGAUAUUUGUUUGAACACUCUGAGCAGAAAGCUAUGUGAUUGUCAAGUGAUUUACCAAAUCUGAAUGUGCCUAAGAGAAUUUCUAGCUGCCUUUGUUUGAAGGAGGUGAUUAGUUCUCUGAACUAAUU
This 1786-nucleotide long non-coding RNA is filed under the name Equus caballus (horse). Its description in RNAcentral is "lncRNA (ENSECAG00000056318.1)". The record is from RNAcentral. Lineage: Eukaryota; Metazoa; Chordata; Mammalia; Perissodactyla; Equidae.